This 450-nucleotide ribosomal RNA is filed under the name uncultured bacterium. RNAcentral describes it as "partial 16S ribosomal RNA". It matches the Rfam family "Bacterial small subunit ribosomal RNA", at positions 354 to 796 of the family's 1533-position model. The record is from RNAcentral.
GUGGGGAAUAUUGGACAAUGGGCGCAAGCCUGAUCCAGCCAUACCGCGUGGGUGAAGAAGGCCUUUGGGUUGUAAAGCCCUUUUGUUGGGAAAGAAAUCCUGUCGGUUAAUACCUGGCGGGGAUGACGGUACCCAAAGAAUAAGCACCGGCUAACUUCGUGCCAGCAGCCGCGGUAAUACGAAGGGUGCAAGCGUUACUCGGAAUUACUGGGCGUAAAGCGUGCGUAGGUGGUGGUUUAAGUCCGUUGUGAAAGCCCUGGGCUCAACCUGGGAAUUGCAGUGGAUACUGGAUCACUAGAGUGUGGUAGAGGGAUGCGGAAUUUCUGGUGUAGCAGUGAAAUGCGUAGAGAUCAGAAGGAACAUCCGUGGCGAAGGCGGCAUCCUGGGCCAACACUGACACUGAGGCACGAAAGCGUGGGGAGCAAACAGGAUUAGAUACCCUUGUAGUCC